This is a long non-coding RNA of Apteryx rowi (Okarito brown kiwi), 2215 nucleotides long. The record is from Ensembl. NCBI's taxonomy places the organism in Eukaryota, Metazoa, Chordata, Aves, Apterygiformes, Apterygidae.
AGAGAAUUAGAGAGCAAACGCAGCGACCGUGUUAAUACAGAGCCUGCGCGCGCGAGCGGGCGUUGACGUCCGUCCAAGGAGGACCUCGCCGGUCCUGCACGCCCCGGAGCGCUGUCCGCCCGACGGGCUGCGCUUUACCGAGGCGAGCGGGCAGCAUCCGAGCGCUCCAGCGAGCAACGCGGCAGAGGAGAACCGGGAAAAACAGCCCAGGGUUCCCGGCUCCCCGGCGCUAAGGUCCGCGGAGUUUCGCCGCGGGAAACCGGGACGCCGCCGAGCGGCGCCCGAUGGAGAAGAGGCGCCAGGGCCGAGCGGGAGCGACGUUCGCAGCCACGCGGUCGCGACGUGACGGCGGUUUAGGGCGAACAGCAGAGCGGCCCACGUCCGACCCACGGCACAGCGCGGUAAUUGUAGUCAGAUGACCUAAAUUCCCAAGCCGGACGCGCAGCCUGGAUACCAAUUAAACGCCCAAGAAUGACGGCGUCCGAGCGCGGCCGCGGCCCGGGCUUUAAAUCUCUGCUCCGGCGUGCACGGAGGGAACAACCUCCAAGUUGGCUCGGAGGAGAAAACCAAUAAUAAUAAUAAUAAUAAUAAUAAUAAAAAAACGCUGACGUUCGCCGGCGCGGUGGAAACGCGGGCUCGAUCCCAGCUCUUUCCCCAGGUUGGGGCUUGCAGCCGGCUAUCUCCGCGCCACAGGCCGCCCGCGCAGCGAUAGCAUCGCGCCCGCCGCGCUAUCCCGCCACCCCAGCAUCCCCAGCAAACCCAGGCUCCGUCUGGAAAAAGCAAGUGGAGGCUUUAAACGAACCCCAGGCAGCUCGGCGGGGCGAGCCGGGAGCCCCCUCCAAGCUUUCGGGRGUUYCUCCUCCUCCUCCUCUUGCUCCCAAAGCAGGGAAGAGCCACGGCGCUGCUCGUUCCCUGCUCGUUCCCGCUCAUGGCCGGGAUCCGGAGGCGGCCCUGCUCCCUUCUCGUGUUUCAAACCCCGCCAGCAGGAAUUCCUCCUCCUCCUCCUCUUCCUCCCAAAGCAGGGAAGAGCCACGGCGCUGCUCGUUCCCUGCUCGUUCCCGCUCAUGGCCGGGAUCCGGAGGCGGCCCUGCUCCCUUCUCGUGUUUCAAACCCCGCCAGCAGGAAUUCCUCCUCCUCCUCCUCUUCCUCCCUUGCCCUGCCCUUAACUCCUCGCGGGCUCCCGCUCCGGAGCCGGGCCGAGGAGGCCCUUCGGCYUCGGGAGCGCCGCCAGGCUCCCAGACACGGACCUUCACCCCGCGGCUGCCCCGUCCCGGAGCAAAUCCCUGGGGAAGGCUCCGGGAUCCAGGCUGCCGGGGUGGGAUUGAGCUCACCGCUCGCCCGCAGCCCUUUCCGGGGUCUCCCGUCGCCACCAGCAUCACGGUUGAGGAGGUCCCAGCACCCGCGGCUCCGGCCCGCUCGGCCGGGAAGCUCGCGGAGGUAGGAGUCCCUCCGCCUUCCGGGGUGCAAACGGCAAGAAUCGGGCUAAAAACCGCCCGUUUUCCCAAUGCCUGCGGCGCGCCGCCUUCCGUCCCCACGCACGAGGCAGGCGAAGGAGGGCGAGCACCCGCUGCCCCCCCAUCCGUCCGUCCGUCCGUCCGUCCGUGCUGCCCCGCGCGUCACCGGCCCCAAAACCAGAAACAGCCGCACUGCCUCCCCACCCUUCCCGAGCGAGGCUGGGACACGGGGUCCGGAUCGCGGAUCGCGGGCCGGCCCCCUCCGGCACGGACGCACCCGCUGCAGGAGAUACGGGGGGGUUUUUUGUUGUUUUUCCCCCUCCUUUUGGACUUCCUUGCUGGGAGGGGGGGGGCAAAAAAGCACCACGAGCAGCGAGAGCUGACGGCGAGGGAGAAGCUACCCGCGGCGAAGACACUGCAGCGAGGGGGGGGGCUGGGAAAGGCCAGCGCUCGGCGGCCGCGGGGAGGAAAACAAACUUCCCAGGGAAGCGGCCAGGGAUGGAGGAGGCGGAGGGGGGGGGGAAAAACGACGGCGGCGGCAGCCGAGCUCGGGCGCGCGGCGCUGCCCUUGGCCGCCCGCGCCGGGGAAGCGCGGCGGCGUUGCGCAAGCGGGCGCCUUUGGACCCCGAGCUCCCCGCCGCGCGGAGAAAGGGGGGUAAAAAAAUUAAUAAUAAUAAUAAUAAUAAUAAUUAAUAUUAAUAAAAGCAACACACGCAACGGCUGCGGGAGGCCGGCGGAGGCGCGCGGGAAGCCCGAACCCC